Molecule: long non-coding RNA, 845 nt
Organism: Suricata suricatta (meerkat)
Lineage: Eukaryota; Metazoa; Chordata; Mammalia; Carnivora; Herpestidae
Exons: 3
Source: RefSeq, a predicted model, not a curated record
CCUUUCCACAGGGGCCCUAUUUGUGGAGCGUCCACUCGGUAUCAGGGACUGUGUGGUACUUGCGGCCAUCCCUGGACGUUAAAACUAAGCGGUGGGAAGCUGCCCCUGGGAUUGGUGGUUACUGCCCUUCCACACCUUCCAAUUUAGCUGCGUCAGGGGACGGCAAUCCCCUCCCUCCCCACCGUUGGAGAUUUUACCCAGAAUCGUGGAGGCCGAAAGAAGCCUGAUGGAGCAAGGCUGCCCCGGGCUGCAGACUCCAUCCCAGAGCCCUGCCUGCCCCCCACACCCCGAAAUUCGGAGCAGCCUGGCCCCAGCAUCUAAGAAUUUCAUCUGUCUCCAUAUCACAAGGAAUAUCUUCCAAAUUUCCGGGGGAACCUUCAAGAAGCUCCAAAGUUACUAUUAAAAGCUCACAUCGGUGGGACACGUGCAAGAGGACUUGAUAUCGGGUCCUGGCACCCGCCACAGUUUGCCUGGCUCUGAUGGACUUGGAGAGCCCAAGGGCUUCUUGGACUAUUUUGCUGAGCCCUUCUAGGUGGAGUAACUAAAACUUGGUCAAAUGAACUUCUUGGGGGGUGGGUGGAGGUGGGGGACCCUUGUGUGACAGGCCAGUGUCUAAUGUCCCCAGAGCGGGGAGGUGUGAGGAGGAAGCCCGUCUCCCCAAAAGGAAGGCACAUACAAGGUCGCGGCAACAAGAUUAAGUUCUGGAGAGCACCGACCAACAAGAUUUCCUCCUAUGAAUAUGCUUUAAUUUCCUGGAUGUUUUUCCAAGAAAAAUGGUAUUGGUGGCCAUUUGAAAUUCUCCCUCUUAAAUGUUGUCACUUUAACUUUUCCAACCUUUAGUAAAG